CACGUAGGGCGCAAGCGUUGUCCGGAAUUAUUGGGCGUAAAGAGCGUGUAGGCGGCCAGGUAGGUCUGCUGUGAAAACUCGAGGCUUAACCUCGAGCUGUCGGCGGAAACCAUCUGGCUAGAGUCCGGAAGAGGAGAAUGGAAUUCCCUGUGUAGCGGUGAAAUGCGUAGAGAUGGGGGAGAACACUCGUGGCGAAGGCGGCCAGCUAGACCAGUUCUGACACUGAGGCGCGACAGCGUGGGGAGCAAACAGG
RNAcentral lists this ribosomal RNA (253 nucleotides) under uncultured bacterium. Its description in RNAcentral is "partial 16S ribosomal RNA". It matches the Rfam family "Bacterial small subunit ribosomal RNA", at positions 524 to 776 of the family's 1533-position model. The record is from RNAcentral.